GGGAUUAUAAUUUAAUGGUAAAAUAUUUAUUUUGCAAGUAAAAAUUAAGAGUUCAAUUCUCUUUAAUUCCA
Molecule: transfer RNA, 71 nt
Filed under: Candidatus Carsonella ruddii CE isolate Thao2000
Lineage: Bacteria; Pseudomonadati; Pseudomonadota; Gammaproteobacteria; Oceanospirillales; Halomonadaceae
Description: tRNA-Ala (TGC) (tRNA-Ala-TGC-1-1)
Rfam family: tRNA
About the family: Transfer RNA (tRNA) molecules are approximately 80 nucleotides in length. Their secondary structure includes four short double-helical elements and three loops (D, anti-codon, and T loops).
Source: RNAcentral